UAAUACGAAGGGGGCUAGCGUUGUUCGGAAUCACUGGGCGUAAAGCGCGCGUAGGCGGAUCAUUAAGUCAGGGGUGAAAUCCCGAGGCUCAACCUCGGAACUGCCUUUGAUACUGGUGAUCUGGAGUCCGGGAGAGGUGAGUGGAACUCCUAGUGUAGAGGUGAAAUUCGUAGAUAUUAGGAAGAACACCAGUGGCGAAGGCGGCUCACUGGCCCGGUACUGACGCUGAUGCGCGAAAGCGUGGGGAGCAAACAGG
Molecule: ribosomal RNA, 256 nt
Filed under: uncultured bacterium
Lineage: Bacteria
Description: partial 16S ribosomal RNA
Rfam family: Bacterial small subunit ribosomal RNA
Source: RNAcentral